GACGAACGCUGGCGGCGUGCUUAACACAUGCAAGUCGAACGGAAAGGCCCUGCUUUUGUGGGGUGCUCGAGUGGCGAACGGGUGAGUAACACGUGAGUAACCUGCCCUUGACUUUGGGAUAACUUCAGGAAACUGGGGCUAAUACCGGAUAGGAGCUCCUGCUGCAUGGUGGGGGUUGGAAAGUUUCGGCGGUUGGGGAUGGACUCGCGGCUUAUCAGCUUGUUGGUGGGGUAGUGGCUUACCAAGGCUUUGACGGGUAGCCGGCCUGAGAGGGUGACCGGCCACAUUGGGACUGAGAUACGGCCCAGACUCCUACGGGGGGCAGCAGUGGGGAAUAUUGCACAAUGGGCGGAAGCCUGAUGCAGCAACGCCGCGUGCGGGAUGACGGCCUUCGGGUUGUAAACCGCUUUCGCCUGUGACGAAGCGUGAGUGACGGUAAUGGGUUAAGAAGCACCGGCUAACUACGUG
This 468-nucleotide ribosomal RNA is filed under the name uncultured bacterium. RNAcentral's name for it is "partial 16S ribosomal RNA". It matches the Rfam family "Bacterial small subunit ribosomal RNA", at positions 28 to 507 of the family's 1533-position model. The record is from RNAcentral.